UGAAUACGAGAUGCUACGGCGUCGAAGCAGUCUAUGUCAUACUUCCAAGAAAAGCUUGCACUGUCAUAAACAAAUAAUGCCUGUACCAUAACCGACACAGGUGGGUAGGUAGAGUAUACUAAGGGGCGCGAGAUAACUCUCUCUAAGGAACUCGGCAAAAUGACUCCGUAACUUCGGGAGAAGGAGUGCCUUAUUUAUAAGGUUGCAAUAACAAGAUCCAAGCAACUGUUUACCAAAAACACAGGUCUCCGCUAAGUCGUAAGACGAUGUAUGGGGGCUGACGCCUGCCCAGUGCCAGAAGGUUAAAGAAGUUGGUUAGCAUCCGCGAAGCUGAUAACUGAAGCCCUGGUGAACGGCGGCCGUAACAAUAACGGUCCUAAGGUAGCGAAAUUCCUUGUCGGGUAAGUUCCGACCCGCACGAAAGGCGUAAUGAUUUGGAUACUGUCUCGGAGAGGGGCUCGGUGAAAUAGACUUGUCUGUGAAGAUGCGGACUACCUGCACCAGGACAGAAAGACCCUAUGAAGCUUUACUGUAACCUGAAAUUGAAAUUGGACUUUACUUGCGCAGUAUAGGUGGGAGGCGUUGAGAAUAUUCUUGCGGGAUUAUUGGAGCCAUCAGUGAGAUACCACUCUUGUAAUGUUAGAUUUCUAACUUUGUAUCAUUAUCUGGUCAAAGAACAGUUUCAGGCGGGCAGUUUGACUGGGGCGGUCGCCUCCUAAACGGUAACGGAGGCGCACAAAGGUUUCCUCUGAACGGGUAGAAAUCGUAUCUAGAGUGUAAAGGCAUAAGGAAGCUUGACUGUGAGACCUACAAGUCGAGCAGGGACGAAAGUCGGUCUUAGUGAUCUGACGGUGCUGAGUGGAAAGGCCGUCUCUCAACGGAUAAAAGUUACUCUAAGGAUAACAGGCUGAUCUCCCCCAAGAGUUCACAUCGACGGGGAGGUUUGGCACCUCGAUGUCGGCUCAUCGCAUCCUGGGGCGGUAGUACGUCCCAAGGGUUGGGCUGUUCGCCCAUGAAAGCGGUACGCGAGCUGGGUUCAGAACGUCGUGAGACAGUUCGGUCCAUAUCCGGUGUAGGCGUUAGAAUAUUGAGAGGAGCCUUCUUUAGUACGAGAGGACCGAGAAGGACAUACCUCUGGUGUACCAGUUAUCGUGCCAACGGUAAACGCUGGGUAGCUAUGUGUGGAGUGGAUAACCGCUGAAAGCAUCUAAGUGGGAAGCCCACCUCAAGAUAAG
RNAcentral lists this ribosomal RNA (1235 nucleotides) under metagenome. RNAcentral describes it as "bacterial LSU rRNA". It matches the Rfam family "Bacterial large subunit ribosomal RNA", at positions 1564 to 2808 of the family's 2925-position model. The record is from RNAcentral.